Molecule: long non-coding RNA, 1739 nt
Organism: Acinonyx jubatus (cheetah)
Lineage: Eukaryota; Metazoa; Chordata; Mammalia; Carnivora; Felidae
Exons: 3
Source: RefSeq, a predicted model, not a curated record
UCCCCAGCAGCAGACGCUGCACCCCUGCAGAGGCAUUCUGGGAGCAAAAGGGCAGGAGGAGUAAAGUUGGGUCCUGCUCACCUUCACGGCCCCCUCACCCUCCAGGUUCUACCCAGUCCCCCGUCUCUCCAGGAUGGUUGUCACCUCUUUGAUGCUUUUCAUCCAGUUCUGAAUGUUCUCGAAGGAUUUCUCAUCUGUGAUGUCAUACACUAGGAUAAUGCCCUGAGAGAUGGCAAGAAUCCACCAUGGAGCCUUGGUCCACAUUCCCCCGUGUCUGCUUCCUGCCCCUCCAAGUGACCCUGCAAGCCCUACCCGCAAAUCUAAUCACUAGUCCAGGUGGGGCCCUCCACAUCCCACACUAUAACCCUGACACCGUCCCUGCCCGACCCUGCGGCCCGUGGUUCUCAGAACCCUGCAGUCUACCGCCUCAUCCCUUGUCCAGACCCACACCCCGUACCAUGGCCCCGCGGUAGUAGGCGGUGGUGAUCGUCUUGAAUCGCUCCUGGCCAGCCGUGUCCCUAAGAGGCGGAACGUUUGUGGGGCGGCACAGAGGGAACAGCUCUCCGAAGAGAGAAUCCCCCCUGCUAAGAAUUUAGCUUCUGCAACAGAGUGGGGGCUGAAAGGAACAGAAUCAGAAAACAGUAAAGGAGGAAAAGAAGCAGAGCCAGAACUUGAACCACAACCUGCUCUUAUCUGUUGCAUCUUAACACCUCUUUCAGGCCACCAGCCACUUGCACACCUUCGGAGUCCCGGGCUUCCUGUGACAGCCCAGCCCUCUAUCUUCAGCUUUCUGGGCUUGAGAACCACCGUCUACGCUCCAGCCAUAUAGGAUGAAGAGCCAGGAAAAAGGUAGCUGAUGCCAGUCUGUGUGAGUUAACUAGUAGGCUGGGCUUGCAAGCAAGAAAUCUGAGGAUAAGUAAGAUUUCUCCUGAGACUGAACUAGGAUAGAGAGGCAUUUUCCUUCCCUUUUCUAACCAGAAUUGUCUUGAGAUUCCCCUCGUUUUAUUUCCCAGGCCAGAGAAGAUGAAGAAAGACAAGAGGGGAGGAGGGGAGGCAGUGUUCUUGGUGGAAACUUGGGCACCUCCCCAGAGCCGGUUGGGAGCCUAGGGAGGAGCCUGAGUCACCAGGCUGACUCAGAGCCCCCAAAAGUCCCCCCACUCCCACCGUCCUUGCCUGGCUGACUGCAUAUUCACGGUUCCAGUCCUUGGGCCAUCCUCCAGCACACCCGGCCACUUUGUUCCAGCCCCCACCCCAAACCCCCAGUUAAGUUGAGGGGCAGGGAGACUGGGAAGUAAUUUGGUACAGUGGGGAUGCAAUGGGGGAGUCUGAAACUCAGCGAGGCAGAAAGAGGCUGUCGGAACUGGAAGCCGCCUUCAGGGAGAGGGGUUACAGGAAAUACAGGGAGGUGGGUGGGGGUGGGGGAGAGGAGUGGAGCAGGAAAUCCAGAAGGGUUCAUGUGCAUUUGGGGAGGUGAGGGAGAAGGGUGGUCCCAGGAACCCCAGGAGCUGGCACAACUGAGAAGUUACCUGGAGGCCUCAGACAGUUUAGAGGUUGGGUACCAUCCAGAGAUACGCUCCACGGAUGGGUCUGAGUCAGGGGUUGGGAGGCUAGAGUUCAGAAGCCUCACUCUAAGAGGGGUGGGGGGUGGUAAAGAGUGGGGCCACGAGUAAUCUGGGAGCCUGAGGAUGAGGUCAUGCGGGGAUUAGGGGCUCUGGGAUAUGGCCAGUGGGCUCACCGAU